Molecule: transfer RNA, 66 nt
Filed under: Telchinia pharsalus
Lineage: Eukaryota; Metazoa; Arthropoda; Insecta; Lepidoptera; Nymphalidae
Description: Acraea pharsalus tRNA-Phe
Source: RNAcentral
AUUUAAAUAGCUCAAAUUUAGAGUAUAAUAUUGAAGAUAUUAGGGUGAUUAAAAAGUCUUUAAAUA